GUAAAUAGAGAGUUCAUAAGCAGUUAAACAUCUUAAUCAAAAGCCAGAUUUUGGCUUAGGUCAUCCAUGAGACUGAAAGUCACAAAGUUUGCAUACACCAACUUAGUAAUAUUAUAGUCGCAUGAUCCUGCAAAUGACCAUCAGAGGGAUAAUCCAAAGAGGAUGGUAACACCAUUAGGAACCUUUCAUUUAGAAAAAAGGCCACAAUGCUCCAACCGUAUGCCCAAACAAAUACCAUUUGUGUCAUCCCAGA
Molecule: unclassified non-coding RNA, 253 nt
Filed under: Hevea brasiliensis (rubber tree)
Lineage: Eukaryota; Viridiplantae; Streptophyta; Magnoliopsida; Malpighiales; Euphorbiaceae
Source: RNAcentral